Molecule: small RNA, 80 nt
Filed under: Flavobacterium xanthum
Lineage: Bacteria; Pseudomonadati; Bacteroidota; Flavobacteriia; Flavobacteriales; Flavobacteriaceae
Description: Flavo-1 RNA
Rfam family: Flavo-1 RNA
Source: RNAcentral
CCCUAGCCCAGAUAGCAGUGGAAAUCCUUUUGCUUUUUUCUUUAAAAAGCAAAAGAUUGAAACGUAAAGCUGGAAAUAGC